GAUGAAGAACGUAGCGAAAUGCGAUAAGUAAUGUGAAUUGCAGAAUUCAGUGAAUCAUCGAAUCUUUGAACGCACAUUGCGCCCCCUGGUAUUCCGGGGGGCAUGCCUGUCCGAGCGUCAUUGCUGCCCUCAAGCACGGCUUGUGUGUUGGGCUCCGUCCCCCGAUCCCGGGGGACGGGCCCGAAAGGCAGCGGCGGCACCGCGUCCGGUCCUCGAGCGUAUGGGGCUUUGUCACCCGCUCUGUAGGCCCGGCCGGCGCUUGCCGAUCAACCAAAUUUUUAUCCAGGUUGACCUCGGAUCAGGUAGGGAUACCCGCUGAACUUAAGCAUAUCAAUAAGCGGAGGA
RNAcentral lists this unclassified non-coding RNA (345 nucleotides) under soil metagenome. Its description in RNAcentral is "partial contains 5.8S ribosomal RNA, internal transcribed spacer 2, and large subunit ribosomal RNA". The stretch from base 1 to 120 matches the Rfam family "5.8S ribosomal RNA", at positions 35 to 154 of the family's 154-position model. The record is from RNAcentral.